AAGACUAUAGACCUGCGGAGUACCUGCGGAGGGAUCAUUACAGAGUUGCAAAACUCCCUAACCCUUGUGAACAUACCUGUACGUCGUUGCUUCGGCGGGUAGCCCCUUUACGGGGCCUCGACCUCCCAGCGAGGUUGCCCGCCGGAGGACCACACAAAACUCUUGAAUUAAUGGCUUCUCUGAGUAUUAAUCAAAUAAGUUAAAACUUUCAGCAACGGAUCUCUAGAUCGGAAGAGCACA
RNAcentral lists this unclassified non-coding RNA (240 nucleotides) under soil metagenome. RNAcentral describes it as "partial contains 5.8S ribosomal RNA, internal transcribed spacer 2, and large subunit ribosomal RNA". The record is from RNAcentral.